GUGGGGAAUAUUGGACAAUGGGCGCAAGCCUGAUCCAGCCAUGCCGCGUGAGUGAUGAAGGCCUUAGGGUUGUAAAGCUCUUUCAGUGGGGACGAUAAUGACGGUACCCACAGAAGAAGCCCCGGCUAACUUCGUGCCAGCAGCCGCGGUAAUACGAAGGGGGCUAGCGUUGUUCGGAUUUACUGGGCGUAAAGCGCACGUAGGCGGAUCGUUAAGUCGGGGGUGAAAUCCUGGAGCUCAACUCCAGAACUGCCUUCGAUACUGGCGAUCUUGAGUCCGGAAGAGGUGAGUGGAACUCCUAGUGUAGAGGUGGAAUUCGUAGAUAUUAGGAAGAACACCAGUGGCGAAGGCGGCUCACUGGUCCGGUAUUGACGCUGAGGUGCGAAAGCGUGGGGAGCAAACAGGAUUAGAAACCCGUGUAGUCC
RNAcentral lists this ribosomal RNA (425 nucleotides) under uncultured bacterium. Its description in RNAcentral is "bacterial SSU rRNA". It matches the Rfam family "Bacterial small subunit ribosomal RNA", at positions 354 to 796 of the family's 1533-position model. The record is from RNAcentral.